UCUUGGCUGCUUUUACAGAUCCAGACUAACACGGCUACCCCUCUGAUAAAGAAUUAGAGUUAGCUGAAGUUUGGUUAAGGAAAUAUAUGUGUUGUAAAGAAAGGCCUUGAAAAUAAUGUUAUAAGGCCAGAAGGAAUUGAGUAGGGAGGAUGUCUGGUUCAAAGAAUAAUUAAUGAGAUAAGGAAAAUUUUUAAAAAGGCCUCUGACUGCUAGCAGUGACUGCAGCUGGUUUUAAAUAGGAAAAAAAAAAAUCUGUCUUAAAAGGAGCCACCAUGGAUCUUCCCACCCUUUUCACACCCAUGUUAUCUUAAAAGUAAAGCCCACUUGAACGCAAAUGCAAUGAAAAAGCUGUUGGUCAGCAAGAAGGAAAAGAGAUAAGAAAGGAAGGCCUUGGAGAAGGGAAAGUAACAAGGACAAGUUGCUUCAGACUGGGUUUCUGCUAAAGCUUGCAAGUUAGCAAACGGUAUAGAGCCAUGACUCUGAAUGUCCUUUGUGAGACCUGACCUGAUCAUGCUGGAGCACACCAAAAUGAGAUGGUUUCCCCUAAGUCUGUCCAAUUUGUAAGUAUACUGAUCACAUGCUUAUGAAUAUUUUGUUACUGUAUUGGGUAUAGUGACUGCUUGUUUUUAUGCUGUGAGCAUUUUUAGCUUAAUUGUAUAAAAUACUAUUUAGCCUUUGGACUUCAAGGAAUUCAUGGUUAAAUUAGUAUGUGGUGGUCUCCCAUAUUAUUAAUUUCUAAUAUUAAUUCAAACAUAAGGUGUGAGGGAUUUGGAUGGUGGGAGGUCCAUCAUAUGACAAAUUUUGAGACCCACUGUUAAGAAAGACACCCAUUAUUAUAUGUGGCAGAGAAGAGUCAUGUAGAAGAAAACAGAUCUGGAUCUCAACUCACUUAGGGUAAGCCUCCACAUCCACAAACAACAGAAAGCAUAAUGAAGUCUACAUUUUGUGAAGUUAUAUGCACUAUAAAUUUAUUUACACAUCGAGAGUUGUUUAAAUGUGAAAGGACGAUGCCCUAGCCAAGGUUGGUUUUUUAUUAUUCUUUAGUUUUAAUGUUACAAAAUGAUUUUUAAAUGUGUUUUCUGCUGUUGUUUCUUAAAGGUCUGAGUGAUUGCUUUUCCUAACUGCAACAUCCCUGUCAGUGUGUUGUAGGAAAGAAUUUAUUGCAUAUUUGGCAAAUGGCUUUUCAAAAAUGUGCUGCUACUGAGGUCUUACUGAUAUUCCCACAGGGUGUGCCAUAGGAACCAUGCUGAAGAGCGCUGUGACAAUUGGAAAACAGCUACUGGGGAGGAAGAGCUGGCUGGGUGGUCUGUAAUGGCAACAUUGUUGUUAAAGAAGAAAGACUAUCCAGAACAUGACAGCACUGCAUUACUUAAUUGAAAAAUUCAUCAAACAAGGAAGACCCUUAACAUCAGCACGAUUGUUUAAGAAUGUGUAAAUGAAGAAAGUUCUCAUCGUGCUGCAGCUGCACAUGAAAUCAAGGGGCCUGUAUAGCAACAAUAUAUCAUUUUUAAAAUGCAGUCAUUCAGUAGUGGUAGUGUAGACAUCUCAGUCUAGAACAAGUUAGUGGUGGGGGAGGCAGGCAGAAGUAGGCACAAUGGAAAUAUAAACGUGUUCCCUCCUGCUUGAAUCAUCAGCAUCAUGCUGGUCUUUAUCUUAUGUAUUCCUGUUCUCCAAGUUACAAUUUUCCAAAUGCUCUCACUCCUCAAGUAAAGGAAAAUAAAUAAGGGCUAAUCAGCAUGCACACACAAAAAAAAAUCAUGAAAGCUGUUUACCUCAGUAGCACAAUUCAGGGAAGAAAGAAUUGGUUGCAGUCCAACUGAAAGUCUUCCCCACCCAUUCUGUUUAUGCCUACAUUAAACACUAGCCAGACUUCCCUUCAAAGACUAAAGCCAUUAGUUGUGAGUGUUAAUAUUAUAAAAUUGAGUAUCACUGCCUCACUUAAGUAUAAAGAAACAGUACUUGAUGCAAACAUUUUAUAAACUGUAAACUUACUGUAAUAUCUUGAGUAUUACCCAGAUAUCAAGAGUAGGUACAUAUGCUUUUAAAAAUGAAGACAUUUAGUAACAAGACAAUGUCACUUCACAAAACAGUUUGAGGUAUUUUAUUUAUAUAGCAAUCUUUAUUUCAAAAGGACAUUUUUAUUACAAAAAAUGUAAAAAUCCAGCUAAACCAGAAACAUUGAGACUUUUUUCCUGGGCCUUCAAAUUCAUUAAUCUUUGUCCCCAGAUUCUUUUCACCACAAUAUCAUCCCCCACAUCCAGCUUGAUUACACAGGUGCAAAUGUGCCAGAAUGGCCUGGAAUAGAUAAAUAUACUGAGAAAGGCAAAAGCUGUAAAAGCUAGAUGCAUGCAACAGGUU
Molecule: non-coding RNA, 2358 nt
Organism: Chrysemys picta bellii (western painted turtle)
Lineage: Eukaryota; Metazoa; Chordata; Testudines; Emydidae
Source: RefSeq, a predicted model, not a curated record